RNAcentral lists this ribosomal RNA (254 nucleotides) under uncultured bacterium. RNAcentral describes it as "partial 16S ribosomal RNA". It matches the Rfam family "Bacterial small subunit ribosomal RNA", at positions 524 to 776 of the family's 1533-position model. The record is from RNAcentral.
UACGAAGGGGGGCUAGCGUUGCUCGGAAUCACUGGGCGUAAAGGGUGCGUAGGCGGGUCUUUAAGUCAGGGGUGAAAUCCUGGAGCUCAACUCCAGAACUGCCUUUGAUACUGAGGAUCUUGAGUUCGGGAGAGGUGAGUGGAACUGCGAGUGUAGAGGUGAAAUUCGUAGAUAUUCGGAAGAACACCAGUGGCGAAGGCGACACACUGGGCCAUUACUGACGCUGAGGCGCGAAAGCGUGGGGAGCAAACAGG